UUCCCCGCAUGGGAUAAUUAUUAAAGAAUUUCGGUUGUCGAUGGGGGAUGCGUUCCAUUAGGCAGUUGGCGGGGGUAACGGCCCACCAAACCAACGAUGGAUAGGGGUUCUGAGAGGAAGGUCCCCCACAUUGGAACUGAGACACGGUCCAAACUCCUACGGGAGGCAGCAGUGAGGAAUAUUGGUCAAUGGACGAGAGUCUGAAUCAGCCAAGUAGCGUGAAGGAUGACUGCCCUAUGGGUUGUAAACUUCUUUUAUAUGGGAAUAAAGUGAGCCACGUGUGGCUUUUUGUAUGUACCGUAUGAAUAAGGAUCGGCUAACUCCGUGCCAGCAGCCGCGGUAAUACGGAGGAUCCGAGCGUUAUCCGGAUUUAUUGGGUUUAAAGGGAGCGUAGGCGGGUUGUUAAGUCAGUUGUGAAAGUUUGCGGCUCAACCGUAAAAUUGCAGUUGAUACUGGCGACCUUGAGUGCAACAGAGGUAGGCGGAAUUCGUGGUGUAGCGGUGAAAUGCUUAGAUAUCACGAAGAACUCCGAUUGCGAAGGCAGCUUACUGGAUUGUAACUGACGCUGAUGCUCGAAAGUGUGGGUAUCAAACGGGAUUAGAUCCCCUGGUAGUCCAC
This 618-nucleotide ribosomal RNA is filed under the name uncultured bacterium. Its description in RNAcentral is "bacterial SSU rRNA". It matches the Rfam family "Bacterial small subunit ribosomal RNA", at positions 183 to 798 of the family's 1533-position model. The record is from RNAcentral.